GGUAGGGUGUCCGAGUGGUCUAAGGAGACGGUUUUGAAAACCGUUGUGCGGGAAACUGUACCGUGGGUUCGAAUCCCACCCCUACCG
Molecule: transfer RNA, 87 nt
Filed under: Phycisphaerae bacterium
Lineage: Bacteria; Pseudomonadati; Planctomycetota; Phycisphaerae
Description: tRNA-Ser
Rfam family: tRNA
About the family: Transfer RNA (tRNA) molecules are approximately 80 nucleotides in length. Their secondary structure includes four short double-helical elements and three loops (D, anti-codon, and T loops). Further hydrogen bonds mediate the characteristic L-shaped molecular structure. tRNAs have two regions of fundamental functional importance: the anti-codon, which is responsible for specific mRNA codon recognition, and the 3' end, to which the tRNAs corresponding amino acid is attached (by aminoacyl-tRNA synthetases). tRNAs cope with the degeneracy of the genetic code in two manners: having more than one tRNA (with a specific anti-codon) for a particular amino acid; and 'wobble' base-pairing, i.e. permitting non-standard base-pairing at the 3rd anti-codon position.
Source: RNAcentral